GUGUGUGUGUGUGUGUGUGUAUCCCAUAAAAGAGUAACCCCUUCGGUCACGAAUGACCAUAGGAUUGCACCUACAAAAUUGCCCUCUGAGGCACAAACCCGGGCAAG
Long non-coding RNA from Octopus sinensis (East Asian common octopus), 107 nucleotides. RefSeq lists it as uncharacterized. The record is from RefSeq and is a predicted model, not a curated record. The transcript has 3 exons. Lineage: Eukaryota; Metazoa; Mollusca; Cephalopoda; Octopoda; Octopodidae.